UCCCUGGUGGCUCAGACGGUAAAGUGUCUGUCUGUAAUGCAGGAGACCCAGGUUCGAUCCCUGGAUUGGGAA
RNAcentral lists this transfer RNA (72 nucleotides) under Bos taurus (domestic cattle). It matches the Rfam family "tRNA". Rfam says of the family: Transfer RNA (tRNA) molecules are approximately 80 nucleotides in length. Their secondary structure includes four short double-helical elements and three loops (D, anti-codon, and T loops). The record is from Rfam by way of RNAcentral. Lineage: Eukaryota; Metazoa; Chordata; Mammalia; Artiodactyla; Bovidae.